This is a long non-coding RNA of Strigops habroptila (Kakapo), 1585 nucleotides long. Lineage: Eukaryota; Metazoa; Chordata; Aves; Psittaciformes; Psittacidae. The record is from Ensembl.
AAAAAAAGCGCUUUUUUGUUUCUGUUUUUUGUUUGUUUGUUUUACAGGGGAUUUUGUAAGAUAUCCAUAUAAAUAAUGUAUUUAUCUUUGGAAUUUGUACAUUGCUUUUUUUCCCCUACCAAGUUUAUUUUAUUGUGUAUGUUUGCUAUGUGAAAAGUGCUGAUUUGUUUGGUCAUUCACCGUUGUAUUAGCUGUUUAAAUGUGAUUUAAAAACAUUUCAUUUAUAGGGUUUUUUUUUUAGUAUUGUUUAAAACCAUGCUUCCAUUUUUUUUUUUAAUUUCCACCCAAAAGCCAUUGUCUAUUUUUGUAUUAUUUGUAAGUUAAGAAGUUUUUUCCAAUAUAUGGCAAAAAGUAGCAUAUUAUUCUUGUAGCAUUUAGUUAUGUAGAUUUUAAAAGAAAUGUAUCCUUUGCUUUUGAGGCUUAACAAAAACUAAUGCUGUUUUACUCUAUCAAUAUGCAUGGGAUUUCUCCUCUUUGGAGUGACGCAUUUUUGUGCAUUAAAUAUGGGGAGAAACUUCAUAGAACUCAAUGAAAAUACUUUCUUUCUUAAGUCUGCUUGUAUAUUUCUCUGUCUUUCACAUAAAUAUAAACCAGCAGAUUGGAUGCCUUAACAAUGCAAAUCAUAUUCAUUUCACUUGUACAUUGUACUGUGCACCAGAACUGUCAAUCAUCACUAACAUUCUAAGAAAAAAAAAAAAAAGGAAUUGAAAAGCACAAAAGAACUGUUUUGUUACCUUAAAACAAUAUAACUUUUUUCUAGUCGAGCAAGAAAUCAUUUACAACGAUGCUGCAACUGUGCAUGCUUCCUGUAUGAAUUUUGCAAUGGUUUUCACUAGAAUGUCACAGUGUGAUCUUUGGGGGAAGGGAAGAAAACAGGAUUAUUUUUUUUUUUUCCAUGGUGAGAAAAUAAAAAGAAGAAAAAACUGGAAAAUGUGAGAGACAUCAAUUUAUUGCUUCUCUGUAUUCCAAGCGAUUUAUUCUAAUUCACAUAGUAAGCAACAGCACGACAAUGUAAUCAAAUUUAAAGCCAUAUUUUGUCCAGUGACACCAUCAAUUACUCUUGUAGAGCUCCACUCAAAGUCAUAGCAAUUUCGACACCAGUGUUAGCCAUUGAUGUUUGUAGUCUUCUGCGCCAGUGUCCAAAGACCCUUUGACAAUGUGCAUAAUUUGUUUUGUUGCAGCUAUUUAUAGUGAUCUGAUGGAUGGGAAUUUAUAAAAAAUCUCCCCGGCACCACCCUUAUCUUUUACAAAGUAAAAGAUGCAGCUGUUUACAGAAUAUGGCUUUAAGUGGAAACAUUCAGAUUUCAGUUUUAACAAGGCGAAGCUUCACAAUGACUGGAUUGCAUAAAGUAUGCCUAUUUCCUCACAGUUGUACUAGGAUGCAGCUAAAAAGAAGUCAUCUCUGAAACUACUAACCUUUCACCUUCUUAUCUAAAUCUUUUUGAAUAGACACACACACUGUACAGUUCUAUUGUUAGAGAAACUAACUACUGUAGAGAUUGUUAUAAUUUUUUUGCAGAAAUUCAAGCUGUAAAAACUUUUCAACUUUCACAAUAUUUAAUUAAAGUUACUUCCUGUCUGUGAA